This 474-nucleotide ribosomal RNA is filed under the name uncultured bacterium. Its description in RNAcentral is "SSU rRNA". It matches the Rfam family "Bacterial small subunit ribosomal RNA", at positions 26 to 518 of the family's 1533-position model. The record is from RNAcentral.
AGGACAAACGCUGGCGGCGUACCUAAGACAUGCAAGUCGAACGGUUCUUUUCGCUUCGGCGGGAGGGAUAGUGGCGGAUGGGUGAGUAACGCGUAGGAACCUAUCGCACAGUGGGGGAUACCGCUGGGAAACCGGCGCUAAUACCGCAUGAGGUUCGCCGAGCGAAUCGGUGAACGAAAGCACGAGAGUGCGCUGAGUGAGGGGCCUGCGUCCGAUUAGCUGGUUGGUGGGGUAACGGCCUACCAAGGCGACGAUCGGUAGCUGGUCUGAGAGGACGGUCAGCCACACUGGGACUGAGACACGGCCCAGACUCCUACGGGAGGCAGCAGUUAGGAAAUUUUUUGCAAUGGGGGAAACCCUGACAGAGUAACGCCGCGUGGAGGAUGACGGCCUUCGGUUGUAACUCCUUUUCUGUGGAGAGUAGAAGACGGUACCGCAGGAAGAAGCCUCGGCUAACUACGUGCCAGCAGCCGC